RNAcentral lists this unclassified non-coding RNA (309 nucleotides) under plant metagenome. RNAcentral describes it as "partial contains 5.8S ribosomal RNA, internal transcribed spacer 2, and large subunit ribosomal RNA". The stretch from base 1 to 105 matches the Rfam family "5.8S ribosomal RNA", at positions 50 to 154 of the family's 154-position model. The record is from RNAcentral.
GAAAUGCGAUAAGUAGUGUGAAUUGCAGAAUUCAGUGAAUCAUCGAAUCUUUGAACGCACAUUGCGCCCCUUGGUAUUCCAUGGGGCAUGCCUGUACGAGCGUCAUUUGUACCCUCAAGCUCUGCUUGGUGUUGGGUGUUUGUCCCGUCUCCGCGCGUGGACUCGCCCCAAAGUGAUUGGCAGCCGGCGUACUGGUCCCGGAGCGCAGCACAUGUCGCGCAAACGAGUGCCUUGGUACGGCGGCGUCCAUAAGCCCCUCUCUCACGCUCUUGACCUCGGAUCAGGUAGGGAUACCCGCUGAACUUAAGC